CCAAAGGCUCUUUUAAGAGCCACCCAUAAAUUCAAAGAAAGUGCUU
This is a regulatory RNA element of Anolis carolinensis (green anole), 46 nucleotides long. It matches the Rfam family "Histone 3' UTR stem-loop". Rfam says of the family: The mRNAs of metazoan histone genes lack a poly-A tail. 3' end processing occurs at a site between a highly conserved stem-loop (modelled by this family) and a purine rich region around 20 nts downstream (the histone downstream element, or HDE). Lineage: Eukaryota; Metazoa; Chordata; Lepidosauria; Squamata; Anolidae. The record is from Rfam.